UUCCGGUUGAUCCUGCCGGACCCGACUGCUAUCGGAUUGAGAUUUAGCCAUGCGAGUCGAACGUCCCCCUGUUGCGGGGGGCGUGGCGUACGGCUCAGUAACACGUAGUCAACCUGCCCUGGAGACAAGGACAACCCCGGGAAACUGGGAUUAAUCCUUGAUAGGUCAUCUCAUCUGGAAGGAGAGAUGGCUUAAAGGGGUACGCGGGCUUCUUCUGCGUAUUCGCUCCAGGAUGGGACUGCGUCCGAUCAGGCUGUUGGCGGGGUAAUGGCCCACCAAACCUGUAACCGGUACGGGCCUUGAGAGAGGUGGCCCGGAGAUGGACACUGAGAGAAGGGUCCAGGUCCUACGGGGCGCAGCAGGCGCGAAACCUUCGCAAUGCGCGAAAGCGUGACGAGGUUAAUCCGAGUGACUCCCGCUGAGGGGGUCUUUUGUCAGCUGUAAAUAGGCAGGCGAAUAAGGGGAGGGCAAGCCUGGUGUCAGCCGCCGCGGUAAUACCAGCUCCUCGAGUGGUCGGGGCGAUUAUUGGGCCUAAAGCAUCCGUAGCCGGUUCCGUAGGUCCUCUGUUAAAUCCAACCGCUCAACGGUUGACCUGCAGAGGAUACCGCGGGACUAGGAGGCGGGAGAGGCGGACGGUAUUCCGCGUGUAGGGGUAAAAUCCUUUGAUCCGCGGAGGACCACCAGUGGCGAAAGCGGUCCGCCAGAACGCGCUCGACGGUGAGGGAUGAAAGCUGGGGGAACCAAACCGAAUUAAUACCCAGGUUAGUCCCAGCCCGUUAAC
This 781-nucleotide ribosomal RNA is filed under the name uncultured archaeon. Its description in RNAcentral is "bacterial SSU rRNA". It matches the Rfam family "Archaeal small subunit ribosomal RNA", at positions 1 to 758 of the family's 1478-position model. The record is from RNAcentral.